Molecule: ribosomal RNA, 466 nt
Filed under: uncultured bacterium
Lineage: Bacteria
Description: partial 16S ribosomal RNA
Rfam family: Bacterial small subunit ribosomal RNA
Source: RNAcentral
GACGAACGCUGGCGGCGUGCUUAACACAUGCAAGUCGAACGGAAAGGCCCUGCUUGCAGGGUACUCGAGUGGCGAACGGGUGAGUAACACGUGGGUGAUCUGCCCUGCACUUCGGGAUAAGCUUGGGAAACUGGGUCUAAUACCGGAUAGGAGCCAUCUUUAGUGUGGUGGUUGGAAAGUUUUUUCGGUGUAGGAUGAGCUCGCGGCCUAUCAGCUUGUUGGUGGGGUAAUGGCCUACCAAGGCGGCGACGGGUAGCCGGCCUGAGAGGGUGUACGGCCACAUUGGGACUGAGAUACGGCCCAGACUCCUACGGGGGGCAGCAGUGGGGAAUAUUGCACAAUGGGCGCAAGCCUGAUGCAGCGACGCCGCGUGGGGGAUGAAGGCCUUCGGGUUGUAAACUCCUUUCGCUAGGGACGAAGCUUUUUUGUGACGGUACCUAGAGAAGAAGCACCGGCUAACUACGUG